UACAGAGGUCCCAAGCGUUGUUCGGAUUCACUGGGCGUAAAGGGUGCGUAGGCGGUCGGGUAAGUCUGACGUGAAAUCUCCGGGCCUAACCCGGAAACUGCGUCGGAUACUAUCCGGCUAGAGGAUUGGAAGGGAGACUGGAAUACUUGGUGUAGCAGUGAAAUGCGUAGAUAUCAAGUGGAACACCAGUGGCGAAGGCGAGUCUCUGGACAAUUCCUGACGCUGAGGCACGAAAGCCAGGGAAGCAAACGGG
This 253-nucleotide ribosomal RNA is filed under the name uncultured bacterium. RNAcentral's name for it is "partial 16S ribosomal RNA". It matches the Rfam family "Bacterial small subunit ribosomal RNA", at positions 524 to 776 of the family's 1533-position model. The record is from RNAcentral.